Zophobas morio is the source of this 1040-nucleotide long non-coding RNA. RefSeq lists it as uncharacterized. The record is from RefSeq and is a predicted model, not a curated record. NCBI's taxonomy places the organism in Eukaryota, Metazoa, Arthropoda, Insecta, Coleoptera, Tenebrionidae. The transcript has 5 exons.
UUAUUUUGAAAACUUAUAUGAAUUUAUAAACGUUUUCGUUAGUGUCUAUAUAGUAGUUAUAUCAUUAAAAAACCCCUUGGCUUCUAGUAAAUACAUGAAGGCAACAUCUCCGUAUGGAAUCAAACGAAUGGGAAACUUGAGUUUGAUCAAAAAAAAAGUUAACUCUAUGAAAGAGGUGCCAUUGAACUCCAACGUAUACAGAACAGUUUGUGGCGACGACAUAAAUGUUACCGGAUAAUAUCUUCAAACCCUGCUCUUAAACUUUAUUUUUAUAUACUAACCAGCUGUAUUGCAUGGUAGACGAGGCCUUCCGGGCUCGGACUUCCGCCGUUUAACCUACAGUGGUAGAACGCUACAACCCACCUCCAUGAGAGGUGUAAUAGAGGCAACCUGCGGAUACCGAACAGCACUGCUGCCAGCCUGGCCACCCCGCGGAAUCUUAUUUUGAUUACGCUGAAGUUUUUAAAGAAGCUGGGAGCGGUACAUUUAAACAGGAUAGGCUGAGAUUUACCCUUUCGACUGCUAAGCGGGCGUAGAGAGGACCUACAGCCCAAUAAACUAUUCAUGGAAAAUGCCAUCCUCGUUCAAUUUGAAGCGUUUGUCCGAAAUCCUCUUUCUAUUAAUAUAAUUUAACCGUUUUUAACUUCCAUUUUUGUUACCAUCCUGCCCUCGCUUAUCACAAUUUAUAGUUAAGUCGAAAAAGGCAACGAUGAAAAAACAAAAAACCUGAAGCUUCAUUGAAUGGAAAGCUGGCGCCGCAUUCAACUAGAAUUCUUGUGUUUUUAUAAUAUUGUCUCGAAUUAAACUAAAGGCACGGAGAAACUCGAAUACUGCAACUUAAAACUUAAACUUAAAUGAAAGUCCCACAUGUUAUACGUUGUCAAAUGCCUUUUUGGACAUUAAGCAAGACGCUUUUAUGGUUUUUUUACUUUCGAACACUAAAAACUUGUUCAACUACGCAUAGAAAUGGAAUGCCCCCUUCGAAAACCAUACUGUUCUGCUUAAACUGGUUGUGUUUAAUAACCUUAAUUUAGUCUUCC